This 253-nucleotide ribosomal RNA is filed under the name uncultured bacterium. RNAcentral describes it as "partial 16S ribosomal RNA". It matches the Rfam family "Bacterial small subunit ribosomal RNA", at positions 524 to 776 of the family's 1533-position model. The record is from RNAcentral.
UACGAGAGGCGCAAACGUUAUUCGGAAUUACUGGGCUUAAAGAGUUCGUAGGCGGCGCAGAAAGUAGGGUGUGAAAGCCCUCGGCUUAACCGAGGAAUUGCGCUCUAAACUACUGUGCUUGAGGGACCUAGAGGUGAGCGGAACUGAUGGUGGAGCGGUGAAAUGCGUUGAUAUCAUCAGGAACACCGGAGGCGAAGGCGGCUCACUGGGGGUCUUCUGACGCUGAGGAGCGAAAGCGUGGGGAGCGAACAGG